This is a long non-coding RNA of Centropristis striata (black sea bass), 986 nucleotides long. RefSeq lists it as uncharacterized. The transcript has 2 exons. The record is from RefSeq and is a predicted model, not a curated record. Lineage: Eukaryota; Metazoa; Chordata; Actinopteri; Perciformes; Serranidae.
AGUUCAAAGCAAGUGUUCAAACUGAGGGUGAAGAGCUCUGUGGAUCCCAACAACCCUGCUGUGAUGGAGGCAAUGCUGAAGCAGCUCAAACAGAAGCUGAAGGACCAGGGGGUGAAUGACGACGUCAGACUGAGCUUCAGGAAGCAGGCAGAUGGAAAAGCCUUCCACGAGGAGAAGAAGAAGAGCAGGAAGGACGAGCUCUAAUUGAGAUUUGCUGUUAAUCAGAGAAAAGUGUGUUUCUUUCCUCAGAGUCCUCGUGUGAUGUGUGAGAAUAGAGCUGCAACAAUUAGCAGAUUAAUCGACUCGUUGCAGCUGUUUUUAUAAUCAAAUCAUCAUUUUAGUCAUUUUACAAGUUUUUAUAAUCAAAUAUAAUCAUUUUAGUCAUUUUACAAGCUCUAAUGUCAAAUAUCUGCUGGUUCCAGCUUCUUUAAUUUAAAGAUUAAAUGCUUUUAUUGGUCAUAAACUAAUAUUUACUGAUAUUUAAACUUGUUUUAUUGAAAUAAAACAUUCAAAUUGAUCUGUUUGGGCUGUGGGAAAUGAUAACAGGCAAUGUUUUAUUUUUUUUCACAUUUUAUAGGUUAGAUAUUAUAAAUUAGAUCUGAUGGAAUCAACUCCAGUGAAAGUCCACCUUUAAACUUUAAUGUUAUUUCGAAUUAUUAGUAAAAAAAUCUUUCUUCAUUUGAGUGUAAUAUAUUAUAUCAAAACAUGCCAAACAGUUCUGGCUUUUCAAAUAUGAAUAUUUAUUAUUAUUUAAUAUUUAUUUGUUUUCUUUGUUAUAUAUGGUCAUAAACUUAUAUUUACUCAUAUUUAAACAUGUUGGUUUAUUAAAACAAGACUUCUGAAUUCAUGUGUGUGUGCUGUGGGGAUUUAUAACAGAGAUUUUUCACUAUUUUCUGACAUUUCAUAAAUAAGAUAAAUAAUAUUCGAUUACACAGAUUCAUAAAGUGUCAACAAUGAAUGAAUGAAAUGAAAUCAGACUUUUACAU